Long non-coding RNA from Daphnia pulex (common water flea), 910 nucleotides. RefSeq lists it as uncharacterized. The transcript is spliced from 4 exons. The record is from RefSeq and is a predicted model, not a curated record. NCBI's taxonomy places the organism in Eukaryota, Metazoa, Arthropoda, Branchiopoda, Diplostraca, Daphniidae.
GAAAGAGAGUUUAGUUUGACACGAUAAGGCGUACUAGUAGUACACGACAAACAUAUUUUUUGUGAUGGGCAACCGAAGAGACGCUCUCAAGCAUAGCAAGGCCGUCAGUAGUAGUACUGAAAGUAAUAGCCCAACCAAGUCCAAAGAGGAAAAGAAACCGACCGACGGUGAGGCAGACAAGACCGAAGGCGAAGGCGGGUUAACUGCAUGGCUGUCAAGCAGUGAAGGAGUUGGCUGGAUGCAGUUUUUCGUCGUGACCAACGCCAUCAUCUUACUCUUGACCACUGGCCUACCUCGGAUUUGGGAGACACUUGAUUUUAUGACCUCCAGCUCAUCUUCCGACUAAGAAAAACGUUUCUCGUAAAAAUACCAACCAUGACUGGGUGCCAACUAGAAUCAAAACAGUACACACUACUUGAAAUUACAGAUUCAAUAACGAAGAAGAAAAAAUAAAAUAAGGAUGGCUGAAUCGGGUCUGUGGAUAAAAUGCACGGUGGUCGUGGUCAUCUUGGGUUACAUUUCUAUUCAAUUCAUGCGCUACAUGGACGAUUGGUACCGGCAAGAGUUUCGCCGUUACUUGGAAACCGAACAGAAACGGAAUCCUCAUCUUUUCGAGCCUUGAUGAGGAUGACAACCUAUUUUUCUUCUUCUUCCCCCCAUUCUUUCUGUAACAAACUCAAUAACAAUAUUUUCAUUUUGAUGUGGUAAAAACAAAAAAAAAAUUGUUUUAUGUGUACCGUCUAUGGUAGAACAGAGCGUGACGUCUUGUGGUUGAGUCAUUGUAUUUGUUUCGGUACUUAAAAAAUUGUUAACGACCGUGUAACCAUCGAUGCGACCUAUUAUCUACACCUUUGACGCUCGGCAGACUCUUUUGACUGAAUAAACACAUUUAGUGACGGCCGACCUUGAA